GAGUUCAGGGGCUUGUGAAAUUAGGUAACACUGCCCCCUAGAGAUCAGUGUGAUGCAAUGUGCCUGCACCAAUUCCCAGAGUCUAUGUCAUAGACUUUAUGACAGAGGUUGUUUGUUUGGUUUUUUUUUUUCUUUUUUGUUUUUUGUUUUUUGUUUUUUUUUGCGAUAAGGUCUCACUCUAUAUCCCUUCCUGCUGUGGUAUUAGUCACUGACUAUACCAGGCUAGCCUCCAACCCAUGGAGACCCACCAGACUCUGCCUCUCAACUGGUGGGACUAAAGAUGUGGGCCACCAUGCCCAGCCUAUGAAGUCAUUUUUAAUGUGGAGGUUUUCUGUACUGUGGAGUAGGAACCAGACGUAUCUAUGGUGUAUAUGGAGGCCAGAGGGUCUGUGAUACUGGCUAAAAAUUAAGGAUACUUUCUCCCUCACACCCAGUUGGCUGCCUGUUCACUUUGGAUCUGACCUUCAUACAGGCUCAAAUGGCUUUUCUCCUCACCCCACCUUCCUCCAGCAGGCAGUUAAUGGGGUUUGCAGCUUGCCUACCUUGGGUUUUUUUUCUUUUAAAUUAUAAUUAAAUUGUCCUUGA
This is a non-coding RNA of Rattus norvegicus (Norway rat), 585 nucleotides long. The record is from RefSeq and is a predicted model, not a curated record. NCBI's taxonomy places the organism in Eukaryota, Metazoa, Chordata, Mammalia, Rodentia, Muridae.